UACGGGGGGGGCAAGCGUUGUUCGGAAUUACUGGGCGUAAAGGGCUCGUAGGCGGCCAACUAAGUCAGACGUGAAAUCCCUCGGCUUAACCGGGGAACGGCAUCUGAUACUGGAUGGCUUGAGUUCGGGAGAGGGAUGCGGAAUUCCAGGUGUAGCGGUGAAAUGCGUAGAUAUCUGGAGGAACACCUAUAGCGAAGGCAGCUUGCUGGGACGUUACUGACGCUAAGGCGCGAAAGCGUGGGGAGCGAACAGG
This 253-nucleotide ribosomal RNA is filed under the name uncultured bacterium. Its description in RNAcentral is "partial 16S ribosomal RNA". It matches the Rfam family "Bacterial small subunit ribosomal RNA", at positions 524 to 776 of the family's 1533-position model. The record is from RNAcentral.